This 229-nucleotide ribosomal RNA is filed under the name uncultured bacterium. Its description in RNAcentral is "partial 16S ribosomal RNA". It matches the Rfam family "Bacterial small subunit ribosomal RNA", at positions 568 to 796 of the family's 1533-position model. The record is from RNAcentral.
UGCGCAGGUGGGCUUGUAAGUCAGUGGUGAAAUACUGCCGCUUAACGGUAGAACUGCCAUUGAUACUGCGGGUCUUGAGUAUGGUUGAGGUAGGCGGAAUGUGUUGUGUAGCGGUGAAAUGCAUAGAUAUGACACAGAACGCCGAUUGCGAAGGCAGCUUACUAAGCCAUUACUGACACUGAGGCACGAAAGCGUGGGGAGCGAACAGGAUUAGAUACCCUGGUAGUCC